GGUCUUGUAAUGUAGUUGGUUAUCAUACUGGUUUUUGAAAAUAAAUUGAUUUGAAAAAUACCAGUAACCCCGGUUCGAAUCCGGGCAGGACCU
RNAcentral lists this transfer RNA (93 nucleotides) under Penicillium nordicum. It matches the Rfam family "tRNA". Rfam says of the family: Transfer RNA (tRNA) molecules are approximately 80 nucleotides in length. Lineage: Eukaryota; Fungi; Ascomycota; Eurotiomycetes; Eurotiales; Aspergillaceae. The record is from Rfam by way of RNAcentral.